Molecule: small RNA, 173 nt
Filed under: Chrysemys picta bellii (western painted turtle)
Lineage: Eukaryota; Metazoa; Chordata; Testudines; Emydidae
Description: TUC338 (ENSCPBG00000013509.1)
Source: RNAcentral
UUGAGACUCUUAGCCUACAGUCCUCCAUUUAUUCACAGAACAGGUACAAUGGGUAGCACCAGCACAUAUUUCCUCAGAAUGCUCUACCAAUGUGCCUCAACCCUAUUCUAAUGGGAUAACUUACAGGGGCGGUGAAAGUACAGUAGUUUGGCAUCCAUUGCCUGUUUGGAGCA